GCGCUCCUGCGGCGGGGUAAGCGCUCCCGACCCGCGCCCGCCCCAGCCCAGACCUGGCGGGGCCAGGACGCUGGUUCAUACACUCCAAGGGGUAACUGUCAGAUUCUGAAAAGAAUUAAAGAGUUGCUGGAUCCAAGAGGAAAUGUGUUUGCAAAUAUGAUAGAUAUUUACAAUUGCCCUUCAUGGAGUGAUCCGUUCUACACUCCUAUCGGCAGAGAAGAGCAUGAGAGUACUGUGGUAAACAGCAAUGAAGUUUUUGAUGUGCCAAAUUCUGAUUUAGUGCCUUGGGAGAAUUUCUAAGCCAUAGUACAAGGAGAGAGGAACAUAUCAGCCUGGUGGAAUCCCUCUGUUGAUAGAGUCCAGAGCCUGGUGAGACCAAUGCAGCCAGAGUUUGCUAGAAGGGAGAAAGCUGCAUAGAGAGAGAAUUCUCAUGGUCUGGAAUGAAUCUCUCCUGAUUCUUCAGGCCUUCAUAUUCACUCACCACUCACUGACUUACCCGGAACAACUUCUAGUCCUGCAAGCUCCAUUCAUGGUAAGUGCCCUUUACGGGUAUACCAUUUUAUCUUUCAUACUGUAUUUUUACUAUACCUUUUGUAUGUUUAGAUACAAAAAUACCAUGUGUGACAAAUUCAGUAUGGUAACUGAAUGCUGUACAGGUUUGUAGCCUAGAAGCUAUAGGCAGUGCCAUAUAGCCUAGGUGUGUAGUAGGCUGUGCCAUCCAGGUUUGUGUAAGGACUCUAUCAUGGUUACAUAAUGAUGAAAUUACCUAAAGGUGCAUUCCUCAGAACAUAUCUCUGUCAUUAAGCAACACAUGACUAUAAUUGUGUUGUGUUCAGAGACAGCUGGGAAUAUUGGCUGUUUCCACAAGACAGACUGGAAAGCCUCAUUCAUGGAGCAUUGGGUAGAGUACAUACAAUGGGUCUUGCCUCAGUUGUGGGAAACAGCCCUAGCCUGAACACUGUCCCUGUUCUGCCUAACAAGCGUUUAAAGCAAGGCCUGAAGCAAGGCCUGAAAGCAUCAAACUAUUUCUAAGGAGCUUAACUGAAUUCUAGAACAAACCUCAAGAUUUAUAGGGAUACAAAAACAUCCAGCACCUAGAAAGGUAAAAUCCACAGUGUCAUCUCCAAACUAGCAAGGAUGCAAAUAAGCAGUAAAAUAGGACCCAUAAUGAGACAAAAAGUGACAUGUUAGAAUUCAGACAGUAUUCCAUAUGUUCAAAAAGUUAGGUAGGGGCCUGGAAGAUAGAUGCCAAUCCAACUUCUAGAGAUGAAAACUGCAAUGUGUGAAAUGUAAAACAUAUUGUGUGGGAUUAAUGGCAGAUUGCACAUUGUGGAAGAAAGGAUUCAUGAGUUUGAAGAAGACAUAGCAAUAGAAACAAAUCAAAGUCACACCAAAAAAAUAGUCUAUCAGUGAGCUGUACACAAGUUUAAGCACCCUAGUGUGUAAUGGGAGUAGGGGAAGGGAGCAUACAAAGUAUUUGAAGAAAUGAUAGCUUAAAAGUUUGAUAGAAACCAUAAACCCACAGAUUCAAGAAGAUAUGAACUCCAAGCACAAGAAGCAUAAAAAACCCAUACUACCCAGGCGUGGUGGCUCAUGCUUGUAAUUCCAACACUUUGAGAGGCUGAGGCAGGAGGCUUGCUUUGAGGCUGGGUGUUUGAGACUAGCCUGGGCAACGUGGAGAGACCCUGUCUCUUACACAAAAACCCAAACCAGAGUACACCAUAAUCAAAUUGUUUAAUACCAAUGAUAAAGAUAAAAUCUUAAAUGGACUAGCGGCAAAAAGGUACUGUUUUCAAGUGACUUGGAAAUAGUUACAAAGGUGAGAAGUUAGAUUUCUUAAAGGGAACAAUUUGAGAAGCCAGUAGAGCAACAUAUUUCAAGUACAGAACAGAGAAAAACCCUGUCAACCAAAAAUUAUGUGCCCAGGCCAGGUGCGGUGACUCACGCCUGUAAUCCCAGCACUUUGGAAGGCUGAGGCUGGCAAAUCACUUGAGGU
Long non-coding RNA from Cercocebus atys (sooty mangabey), 1996 nucleotides. RefSeq lists it as uncharacterized. The record is from RefSeq and is a predicted model, not a curated record. The transcript has 5 exons. NCBI's taxonomy places the organism in Eukaryota, Metazoa, Chordata, Mammalia, Primates, Cercopithecidae.